GAUGAACGCUGGCGGCGUGCCUAAUACAUGCAAGUCGAGCGAAGAGACGAGGUGCUUGUCCCUCUUACGUUAGCGGCGGACGGGUGAGUAACGCGUGGGGAAUCUACCUAUAAGCGGGGGACAACUUCGGGAAACGGAUGCUAAUACCGCAUAAAAAAUUUAACCACAAGUUUUAAGAUUGAAAGACGCUUUUGCUUCACCUAAAGAUGGUCCCGCGGUGUAUUUGCUAGUUUGUGAGGUAAAGGGCCUCCCAAGCGAAGGUACCUAGCCGGACUUGGAGGGUGGACCGCCCCCAUUGGACCGGGACCCCGGUCCAACUCCUACGGGGAGCAGGCGUAGGGGAUUCUCCGGAAAGGGCGGAAGGCCGGCCGGAGCAACGCCGCGUGGUGGAUGAAGGUCUUCGGUUCGUAAACCUCGGUGAUUGGGGAGGACGAAAUGUGUAAGUAAAUAUGCACGUAUUGACGGUACCUACUCAGAAAGCCACGGCUAACUACGUG
Molecule: ribosomal RNA, 497 nt
Filed under: uncultured bacterium
Lineage: Bacteria
Description: partial 16S ribosomal RNA
Rfam family: Bacterial small subunit ribosomal RNA
Source: RNAcentral